Chanos chanos (milkfish) is the source of this 131-nucleotide small nucleolar RNA. Lineage: Eukaryota; Metazoa; Chordata; Actinopteri; Gonorynchiformes; Chanidae. The record is from RefSeq and is a predicted model, not a curated record.
CUGCACUGUCAGCUGACUGGAAUGCCCUCCCCCUGGCUAUCCAUUCUCAGUGUCAGUGCCAGAUAAACCUCAGUUAGCAGAAGGGCUGGGUCAAACCGUUGGUUCACUCCUUUCGAAGGCUGAGAACACUG